Molecule: long non-coding RNA, 2059 nt
Organism: Lycium ferocissimum
Lineage: Eukaryota; Viridiplantae; Streptophyta; Magnoliopsida; Solanales; Solanaceae
Exons: 2
Source: RefSeq, a predicted model, not a curated record
AGUUAUGGGGCUUGGGUGGGUAUUUUCUUGAAAAUGUUUUCUACCAACCAAACUAACAUGAGAAACUAAGUAAAAAAUUCACUUAUUUUCCGCUACCCAAACGAACAUGAGAAAGUAAGUAGAAAUUCACUUAUUUUCCAAGAACACAUUUUUCAGGAAAGCAUUUUCCUUGGAAAACAUUUUCCUUCAUACCGAACACACCCUAAGUCGAAACUAGUUUUGUCUUGAAGCACACGAUCUCAAGUACUUGUUUGUCAUUCUAACGUGGAACUGAAAAAUUUGUAGAGGAUAACUGGAAUUCGUUGUUCUGGCAGCAGAUCAUGAUGUCUUCUUCCCAGUUUGUGUCCAUUUUAAUGGCUCAAGAACGUUUGAUGACCUGAAGGUUGGCACCUGCUUCUGCACAUAACAUUGUGACCCUCGAUUUUCAGCCAUUAGGUUGCUGAUUCAUGUUCUUUCUUAUUUUGAUUUGUUUGCAUACGAUUUUUCUUAUGUCUGUUUUAUGAUCAUUUUGGUACAUUUUGUCAAAGAAAUCUUGAGGUUGUGUGGAGAAUAGUUACAAUGUUGAGUGAGUGUUUUGUGAUUUAUGCAUAUGAUGUUUUCCAGGGUUACUUCCAAUAGGUUGUUAACCGUUGUCCCUAAGAGUUGGUUGAUAUGUUGAUUCAUUGUACUUUUAUAACCUGUAACAAUUUACUGGAAACUGAGUGUUAAAACAUUGCAACUAUUAAAGCAUCAUUACAAUGUCAGAUUUAUGCACUGAUAGCAUAGCAUGUUAGUUCCUCGUCGUUUAAAACUUAUGCUUCAGAUGAUAGAUUCCUCAAAUUUGCCAAGGGACUAGGAGAAUGCUCUAACAAUCCAUGAAAUCAUCGACAUGCGUACUGCAUAUGAUAACUCGAAACAAAUUCUGAAGAAAUUGUGAAAUAGAGAACGGAAUUUGCUUCUGAUUCUUCUCAGGGCAGCUCUAGACAAGAUUGAGACUAUGAAAGCCACAAAGCAUUAACUUGGCUGAAUCUCUUCUGAUUGGAUUAUUAUCUUACAUGUGUGAACAGAUAGUUUGCAAAUCGGAAGACAUUAAAGCCUAAAAAAGGGCAGUCUGGUGCACAAAGCAUCCCGUAUUAGCAGGGUCUGGGGAAGGGCGGCACUGCAAGGGAUGUGAUGUAGACAACCUACCCUAAUGCAAGCAUUAGUGGCUGCUUCUUGGCUCAAACCCGUGAUGAUUUUGCUGGUGAAAGGGAAGAUCCUUCUAGAAAAUUUAGUCUUCCAGAGCCAGAGGCAGCGCUACAAGAGCUAUUACGUAAAUUUUGAUUGUUGUUCCUUACAACAAUAAUCAGCUGAUGAAUUCUGUUCAUCAUUGCUCAGAUAAUGGGAAAUAACUCUUUAAUCCAUAAGUGAAGUAUGCUUUGUUCAUUGAGCGUAUUUGAUUCAGAGAUUAGCCACUCGGAUCCUUCCACCAAUAGUUCAGAAAGCUUCCUACUUUCCAGGGAAAACUAUUCUCUUUGCCAAGCUGCUCAAAGUUUGAACUAUUAAAGCUUCGAGUUGUAAAAGGCAGCCUACAGAUGCUGGGACCAGAUGGGUAGUUGAAGAAGCAUGGAAACCAUGCCCCAUACAUUUGGUUCCACUGUCCGUCUUCCGAUUCUGAUUUUGUGGAUGAUUCAAUAGAAGUUGCAAAAUCAUCAGUCAAUGAAAUCCCAGAAACUGAUAAAUGUGGAUGCAAGCUGGAGGCUUCUUCCGCGAUGGAACACUUAAAUGAUCCUAAAAUUAAGUGAGGAAGACGGAGAAGGCAGCUGAUAGCCAGUGUAUGAAGAAUAUGGAGGUUGAAAGGCAUUUUAUCUCGGAUAAAAAUGACAAUAAUGAUGCCUUUGGAAGGUUCAAAAUGGCACCUGAUGAUUGAUGGAGUCUGCAACCAAUUUUGUAGCUUGUAUAUUAUUGGCCAAUGGAAUUCGCUGCUAACUUCCAAUAUUUAAAGUUAUUUGUUUUACCUGCUUAAUGUAUAUGAUUCCAUUAUCACGCAAAACAGACAAGGAAAAUGAAUUAAUAUCACUGGGUUGUCGUUAGCAUAUUU